CCUACGGUGCGCAGCAGUGGGGGAUAUUGCACAAUGGGGGGAACCCUGAUGCCGCGACGCCGCGUGGGUGAAGACGCGCCUCGGCGCGUAAAGCCCUGUCAGCAGGGAAGAAAAUGACGGUACCUGAAGAAGAAGCCCCGGCUAACUACGUGCCAGCAGCCGCGGUAAUACGUAGGGGGCAAGCGUUAUCCGGCUUUACUGGGUGUAAAGGGGGGGCAGACGGCGAUGCAAGCCAGGAGUGAAAGCCCGGGGCCCAACCCCGGGACUGCGCUUUGAACGGCGUGGCUGGAGUGCAGGAGGGGCAGGCGGAAUUCCUGGGGGAGCGGUGAAAUGCGUAGAUAUCAGGAGGAACACCGGUGGCGAAGGCGGCCUGCUGGACUGCAACUGACGUUGAGGCCCGAAAGCGUGGGGAGCAAACAGGAGUAGAUACCCCUGUAGUC
This 440-nucleotide ribosomal RNA is filed under the name uncultured bacterium. RNAcentral describes it as "partial 16S ribosomal RNA". It matches the Rfam family "Bacterial small subunit ribosomal RNA", at positions 338 to 795 of the family's 1533-position model. The record is from RNAcentral.